CCUACGGGAGGCAGCAGUGGGGAAUAUUGGACAAUGGGCGAAAGCCUGAUCCAGCAAUGCCGCGUGAGUGAAGAAGGCCUUCGGGUUGUAAAGCUCUUUUACCCGGGAAGAUAAUGACUGUACCGGGAGAAUAAGCUCCGGCUAACUCCGUGCCAGCAGCCGCGGUAAUACGGAGGGAGCUAGCGUUGUUCGGAAUUACUGGGCGUAAAGCGUACGUAGGCGGCUUGGUAAGUCAGAGGUGAAAGCCCACGACUCAAUCGUGGAACUGCCUUUGAGACUGCUUCGCUUGAAGAUGGGAGAGGUUAGUGGAAUUCCGAGUGUAGAGGUGAAAUUCGUAGAUAUUCGGAAGAACACCAGUGGCGAAGGCGGCUAACUGGACCAUUCUUGACGCUGAGGUACGAAAGCGUGGGGAGCAACAGGAUUAGAUACCCUGGUAGUCCACGCCGUAAACGAUGAUAGCUAGCUGUCGGGGCUCUUGGAGCUUCGGUGGCGCAGCUACGACAUAGUUAUCCGUCCGUGGGUAGGUACGGCCGCGAACGGUAAACGUACAAUAGAUAGACGGCGUGAGACGUGCCGACGGACGACCGACGAGGGAGGUAGG
RNAcentral lists this ribosomal RNA (601 nucleotides) under uncultured bacterium. RNAcentral's name for it is "bacterial SSU rRNA". The stretch from base 1 to 515 matches the Rfam family "Bacterial small subunit ribosomal RNA", at positions 338 to 873 of the family's 1533-position model. The record is from RNAcentral.